Molecule: RNA transcript, 2290 nt
Organism: Tarenaya hassleriana
Lineage: Eukaryota; Viridiplantae; Streptophyta; Magnoliopsida; Brassicales; Cleomaceae
Gene name: protein TPLATE-like
Exons: 2
Source: RefSeq, a predicted model, not a curated record
CGAAACAUAACUACAAAAAUUUGCAUUCUCAAAUGAGAUGCAAGUACAGGGUUCAGUUGGGAAUAAUGGCUAAACGACCCUGGAGUGGGAAAGCUAUAUGUUACAUGUCUCGAAACAUAAUUAAAAAAAAAUCUGCAUUCUCAAAUGAGAUGCAAAUACAUGGUUCUGUUGAGAAAAAUGGCUAAACAGACAUUGUGUUAUAUGUCCCGAUACAUAAUGCAAAGAUAUGCAUUUUAAAAUGAGAUAAAUGCGGAGGGUUUUUUCUGUUGGGAAUGAUGACUAAAGAUUCUCUGAAAUGGGAAUGCUAUCAGUUACAUGACACGAAACAAUGAAAAAUCUGCAUUUUCAAAUGCAAUGUAAAAUAGAGGCUCUGUUAUAUUGGAAAUAAUGGCUGAACAUACCUUAAAAUGUGAAUGCUAUCUAUUACAUGCCCUGAAAUGUAAUGCAAAAAUGUGCUUUUCAAAACGAGAUAAAGGCAGAGGGUUCGAAAUAAUGGCUAAAGAGACCCUAAAAUGGCAAUGCUAUCUGUUAUAUGUCUAGAAACCUAAUGAAAAUCAUGUAUUCUCAAAUGAGAUGCAAAUACAGGGUUUUCUAUUGGGAAUGGUGGCUUAACAAACGCUGGAAUGGGAUCUGUUAAAUGUCCCGAAACAUAAUGCAAAAGUAUGUAUUCUCAAAUGAGAUGGGUUGUUUUAUUGGGAAUAAUGGCUAAAUAGACCCUGCAAUGGGAACGCUAUCUAUUUACAUGUCAUGAAAUAUAAUGCAAAAAUCUGCAUUCGCAAGUGAGAUGCAAGCAGGUGGUCUGUUCUAUUUAGGAAUAAUAGCUAAACAGACCUUAGAAUAGGAAUGCUAUCUAUUACAUGUCCCGAAACAUUAAAAAAUGCAUUCUCAAGUGAGAUGCAAAUGUCAGGUUUAUUCUGUUGGGAAUAAUCGUCUCUUGAAUGGGAAUGCUAUCUGUUACAUGCACAACGAUGAAAAAUCUGCAUUUUCAUAUGAGAUGCAAAAUAGAGGGUCUGUUAUAUUGAAAAUAAUGGCUAAACAGACCUUGGAAUGAGAAUGCUAUCUGUCAUUCCCCAAAACGUAAUGCAAAAAUCUGCAUUUUAAGAUGAGAUAAAUGCAGAGGGUUUGUUCUGUUGGGAAAAAUGGCUAAAGAGACCCUGAAAUGGGAUUAUUACUAUCUAAUGCAUGUCCCGAAACAUGAGAAAAAACAUGUAUUCUCAAAUGAUAUGCAAAUACAGGGUAUGUUAUAUUGGGAAUGAUGGCUAAACCGAUACUGGAAUGAGAUUGCUAUCUAUUAAAUGUCUCGAAACAAAAGCAAAAGUAUGCAUUCUCAAAUGAGAUGGUCUGUUCAAUUGGGAAUAAUGACUAAACAGACCCUUAAAUGAGAUUACUGUCUAAUGUAUGUCCCGAAACAUAAUGCAAUAAUCUGCAUUCGCAAGUGAAAUGCAAACAGAUGGUCUGUUCUAUUUAGAAAUAAUAGCUAAACUGACCCUGAAAUGGAAACAGUAUAUGUUACAUGUUCCGAAACAUAAUUAAAAAAAUCUGCAUUCUCAAAUGAGAUGCAAAUACAGGGUUUGUUUUCCCAAUAGCUAAACAGACCCUUUAAAUAGGAACGCUAUCUAAUGCACAUCCCGAAAUUUUGGAGAACAGAGUGAUCGGUGCGCUAGCAUAUGGAACUGGUUAUGGUGCUCUGAACUGGACAGGGCCAGCCCUCAAAGUUGUGAAAGUUUGCAAGCCUUGUGUCAAAUGGGAUUAUGAUGGCCGGACCUAUGCGAUAGAUUGCUAUUUGAAGUUGCUUGUUAGGCUGUGCCAUAGUUAUGAUUCCCGGGGAGGAAUGAAACGACUUAAAGAUGGUGCGUCUCAGGAUCAAAUUUUAAAUAAGACGAGAUUGCAGGCAGCACGAACUUGUCAAGGAUCUCCAAAGGGUACUUGAUCACCAAACAAAUUUAUAGACUGUAAGAUGUGCAUGCAGUUUUAUUAUGUGCCCAGAGGAUGGGGUCUCAACAUGCAAGAGCUGGCCAACUGAUUACCAAAGAGCUUGAAGAGUACAGGAAUCAUGCUGUUGCUGAUACAGUUAGCAAGCUGCAAAGGAUUAAAUAUGCUUCAAAUCAUCCUGAAAACAAGUGACCUUUCUUUCUGCUUAGUUUGAUAUUGUGUUCUGCUUAAUGUCUCCUGCUUGCUGCAAGUGCUUGAAAGUACAAUGACUGAAACCCGUUGCGUAAUCUAGUAUGUAUGUUCGGUCCCUUUAAUUCCUAUGUCAUUCCUGGAAUGAAACAUAUAUAAACUUGUUGCU